This 110-nucleotide small nuclear RNA is filed under the name Phialocephala subalpina. Its description in RNAcentral is "U5 spliceosomal RNA". It matches the Rfam family "U5 spliceosomal RNA". From Rfam's summary of the family: U5 RNA is a component of both types of known spliceosome. Lineage: Eukaryota; Fungi; Ascomycota; Leotiomycetes; Helotiales; Mollisiaceae. The record is from Rfam by way of RNAcentral.
CUGGAGUGGGACAAACUAUCUCAGAAUUCAUUUCUUGCCUUUUACCAGAGAUGACCGUGGUUCAUGCCCAUAAUACUCCAUUCCUACAAUCUUUGAAACCAGCCCCUGGG